AAUCUAUAAAAUGACAUUUUCUAUCAAAAUCUAUAUUAUAAGUCGUGUACGUGUCUAAUAGUGAUUCUUGGAUACCAAGACCCCGCAUGUUUUUAAAUAUCAAGGAAAAAAAGCCUUGAACAUCACAAAAUCCAGCACAACUUGAGCAAAUAAGCUGAGUGUAAAUUAAUUUUUUCCUGACCUUUCGAUCACACUUUUUUAAGUUGAGGCUACAAAAUUGUCCGAAUCAUACCAAAAGUAAAGCAUCUGUACUACCGGUGGCAGUCCUUUUGCACCUAAAAUUAUUUAAAGGUAUCAGUUGCACUGAUAUGACAAUAAUCCAAACGUUAUUUUCAUUUAAUCUCUCCGACAGUUGAUAACCCAGUUUGUUAGUGCAAACAACAUUAAUAUCUAGAAGCCUGAAUCACG
This 408-nucleotide long non-coding RNA is filed under the name Mytilus galloprovincialis (Mediterranean mussel). Lineage: Eukaryota; Metazoa; Mollusca; Bivalvia; Mytilida; Mytilidae. The record is from RNAcentral.